CACAAUAUAAAUAAAUUUUUAAUGAAUCAAUUAAUUUAAUUGAAUCAAAAUAAAAAUGCUUUAUUCAUUUGGAAAAUGUAUAUUAUGACAUACAUAGUUUUAAGCCUUAAACAAUGAAGACUAUGUCAAGCAAUUUAAUCUUUCAAUUCGCUUGAGGAGUUGCUGUCAUCUUCACUAACGCGUAUCUAUACGGAUAUCGUGGUCAAAGUCAUCAAAUAUAAUCUUUUUAGUUUUUUCAAUCACCUUCAUCCAGUCAUCUCUUGUGACUUUUUCGCAUG
This 278-nucleotide unclassified non-coding RNA is filed under the name Melitaea cinxia (Glanville fritillary). RNAcentral's name for it is "misc RNA ENSMCXG00005013588.1". The record is from RNAcentral. Lineage: Eukaryota; Metazoa; Arthropoda; Insecta; Lepidoptera; Nymphalidae.